AUUGUGCCCCCUCCGUCCGGUAUUUAGUGUCGCAAAUUUGUCUACAUACACAUGUAUCUAGACGUGUUUUAAUGUGUAGGUACAUACGUAUCUAGACAUAUUUACAUCACUUAAUACCGGACGGAGAGAGUAAUUG
Non-coding RNA from Brachypodium distachyon (stiff brome), 136 nucleotides. Lineage: Eukaryota; Viridiplantae; Streptophyta; Magnoliopsida; Poales; Poaceae. The record is from Rfam.